RNAcentral lists this long non-coding RNA (1708 nucleotides) under Olea europaea (common olive). RNAcentral's name for it is "long non-coding RNA (OEUR_LNC001817)". Lineage: Eukaryota; Viridiplantae; Streptophyta; Magnoliopsida; Lamiales; Oleaceae. The record is from RNAcentral.
AUAUUUUAUUUACUUAUAUUUUCAAUACUACAUUAUCGUUUCAAUGGAUAAAUAAGAAUUACACAUGACAAACUACUAACGGUGAAAUUCGAAAUUUGAAGAAUGAUUGAACAAUACAAUAUAAUACUUGGAUAUUCUCAUAGUUAAGUCGAAAAUGGAGAAUUUUUUUCACUAAACAUUUAUAUUUUUCAAUACUAAUAUUAAUAUUUCAUGGUGUCCCAAUGUGAGAAAAAAAACUUACACAUAAUAAAAUGGGAACAUAUCAUCCCAUCUUGAUUCUUGAAAGAAAGAAAGAAAGGAAAGAAAAAUACAAGGCAGAGUAUACAAUGUGCUUUCUUACAUACAUAGAGAUAAAAGAGGCUCGUGAAAUUAACAUGACGGAUCGAAAUUAAGGUACAAGACCAACGUACGGAACAGGUACUAUGUACCUAGGAUUCAACGGGAUCUCCAUUGUGUUCUGUCUGAAAACUGUUCCAACAGCCUCGACGACGAAGGCUACGAACUCUAAGGCAAGCUUAAAUAGUUCUAUGCACAUUUCAAUCCUCGAAAUCACCAUUUCUCCUUUCUUCUUCUUGUUUCCUCUCUCUCUCUCUCUAAACUGAGUUACUUAUAGUGUCUCUCUCUCUAUGUAUAUGUGAGUAUAUAUAUGGUUCAGACAUGAAUUUGUGAAAACGUUGGUAAUGGCUAACACCGCCUUUGGGACUCUCAAGGGACCAGAAAGACCAGCAUCUCACCCCUGUCCGACCCCAUCCCAACAUAAUUAUAGGGUUAAAUGCACUAUGGAUCGUUCAACUUCGAGCAGAGUUGUAUCGGGGUCGCUUAUCUUUAAUUUUGUGCAAUCAAAUCAUAAGUCUAGCAUUUUUCUUGCAGAUGUGAUCACUUGACUUCAAUUUGGUACAACUAAAUCAUCCCAUCUCGAUUUUCUUGCAAAUCUUGCCACUUUGCCUAUCGUCAGCAUAACUAACGUAUUUGUUGAUAUCGACAUUCAAACUAAUAGAUAGCUGACAUAUUUUUUGUUCAUAAGUUUUUUUAAAAUGUACUUUCUUUUAUGAUGGACCCAAUAUAUUUUAACGUUCAUGUCAUUAUAUUAUACUAAAUAUUUCAUGGUGUCCCAAUGUGAGAAAAAAAACUUACACAUAAUAAAAUGGGAACAUAUCAUCCCAUCUUGAUUCUUGAAAGAAAGAAAGAAAGGAAAGAAAAAUACAAGGCAGAGUAUACAAUGUGCUUUCUUACAUACAUAGAGAUAAAAGAGGCUCGUGAAAUUAACAUGACGGAUCGAAAUUAAGGUACAAGACCAACGUACGGAACAGGUACUAUGUACCUAGGAUUCAACGGGAUCUCCAUUGUGUUCUGUCUGAAAACUGUUCCAACAGCCUCGACGACGAAGGCUACGAACUCUAAGGCAAGCUUAAAUAGUUCUAUGCACAUUUCAAUCCUCGAAAUCACCAUUUCUCCUUUCUUCUUCUUGUUUCCUCUCUCUCUCUCUCUAAACUGAGUUACUUAUAGUGUCUCUCUCUCUAUGUAUAUGUGAGUAUAUAUAUGGUUCAGACAUGAAUUUGUGAAAACGUUGGUAAUGGCUAACACCGCCUUUGGGACUCUCAAUGGACCAGAAAGGCCAGCAUCGCAUCCCUGUCCGACCCCAACCCAACAGAAUUAUAGGGUUAAAUGCACUAUGGAUCGUUCAACUUUGAGCGGAGUUGUAUCGAGG